GACGCGAUAGCGCAGUGGUUAAACACGUUGUGUGUCUUGAGUGAGCCCCGGGUUCAAGUCCCGGGCGCGUCG
This 72-nucleotide transfer RNA is filed under the name Aphanomyces astaci. RNAcentral describes it as "tRNA H257_05166". Lineage: Eukaryota; Oomycota; Saprolegniomycetes; Saprolegniales; Verrucalvaceae. The record is from RNAcentral.